ACGGAAGGCAGCAGCUAAGAAUAUUCCGCAAUGGACGAAAGUCUGACGGAGCGACGCCGCGUGGAUGAUGAAGGUCGGAAGAUUGUAAAAUCCUUUUAGCAUCAAGAAUAAGCGGAACAGGUAAUGGUUCUGUGGUGACGGUAGUGUUUGAAUAAGCAACGGCUAAUUACGUGCCAGCAGCCGCGGUAAUACGUAAGUUGCGAGCGUUGUUCGGAAUUAUUGGGCGUAAAGGGCAUGUAGGCGGAUAUGCAAGCUUGGUGUGAAAGGCGGGAGCUCAACUCCCGAACUGCGUUGAGAACUGCAUAACUAGAGUGACUGAGGGGCAGGCAGAAUUCCAGGUGUAGGGGUGAAAUCUGUAGAUAUCUGGAAGAAUACCAAUGGCGAAGGCAGCCUGCCAGCAGAUGACUGACGCUGAGGUGCGAAGGUGCGGGGAGCAAGCAGGAUUAGAUACCCUGGUA
This 458-nucleotide ribosomal RNA is filed under the name uncultured Treponema sp. Its description in RNAcentral is "partial 16S ribosomal RNA". It matches the Rfam family "Bacterial small subunit ribosomal RNA", at positions 341 to 792 of the family's 1533-position model. Lineage: Bacteria; Pseudomonadati; Spirochaetota; Spirochaetia; Treponematales; Treponemataceae. The record is from RNAcentral.